AGUUCGGUCCCUAUCCGUCGCAGGCGUAGGAAAUUUGAGAAGACCUGUCCUUAGUACGAGAGGACCGGGAUGGACGUACCUCUGGUGUACCAGUUGUCCUGCCAAGGGCAUGGCUGGGUAGCUAUGUACGGAAUGGAUAAGCGCUGAAAGCAUCUAAGCGCGAAGCCAACUUCAAGAUAAGAUGUCCCACCGCAAGGGUAAGACCCCAGAAAGACUAUCUGGUUGAUAGGUCGAAGGUGUAAGUGCAGCAAUGUAUUUAGCUUAUCGAUACUAAUAGGUCGAGGACUUGACCAAU
RNAcentral lists this ribosomal RNA (295 nucleotides) under Clostridioides difficile. Its description in RNAcentral is "partial 23S ribosomal RNA". It matches the Rfam family "Bacterial large subunit ribosomal RNA", at positions 2628 to 2925 of the family's 2925-position model. The record is from RNAcentral. Lineage: Bacteria; Bacillati; Bacillota; Clostridia; Peptostreptococcales; Peptostreptococcaceae.